GGGCAAAGAGCGGUAGUCAUCGCUCGUCCACGCUUGCUGUAUUGCCUUCACACGGCAGGGGUCACUGGUUCGAUCCCAGUAUCGCCCACCA
Molecule: transfer RNA, 91 nt
Filed under: Actinomycetota bacterium
Lineage: Bacteria; Bacillati; Actinomycetota
Description: tRNA-Val
Source: RNAcentral